CAGCCGCCGCGGUAAUACCUGCAGCCCAAGUGGUGGUCGAUUUUAUUGAGUCUAAAACGUUCGUAGCCGGUUUGGUAAAUCUUUGGGUAAAUCGGGAAGCUCAACUUUCCGACUUCCGAAGAGACUGUCAAACUUGGGACUGGGAGAGGCUAGAGGUACUUCUGGGGUAGGGGUAAAAUCCUGUAAUCCUAGAAGGACCACCGGUGGCGAAGGCGUCUAGCUAGAACGGAUCCGACGGUGAGGGACGAAGCCCUGGGUCGCAAACGGGAUUAGAUACCCUGGUAGUCCAGGGUGUAAACGCUGCCGACUUGGUGUUGGAGGCCCUUCGGGGGCAUUCAGUGCCGGAGAGAAGUUGUUAAGUCGGCUACUUGGGGAGUACGUCCGCAAGGAUGAAACUUAAAGGAAUUGGCGG
This 412-nucleotide ribosomal RNA is filed under the name uncultured rumen archaeon. RNAcentral's name for it is "bacterial SSU rRNA". It matches the Rfam family "Archaeal small subunit ribosomal RNA", at positions 459 to 871 of the family's 1478-position model. The record is from RNAcentral.